Long non-coding RNA from Drosophila simulans, 967 nucleotides. RefSeq lists it as uncharacterized. The record is from RefSeq and is a predicted model, not a curated record. The transcript has 2 exons. Lineage: Eukaryota; Metazoa; Arthropoda; Insecta; Diptera; Drosophilidae.
UAUUCCAGUUGGAAUUUAGUUUAGAAUGAGAUUAGCAGCUGAACUUAAUUUUUAGCAAUUGUAAAAGAGCAUUGUGAAAUAUAUCUUGCGAUUUCAGUGACGAACUAACCAAAGUCCAUUGAAUGUUAGAGUUAGCAUGAAAGAAAGUCAUCUAAUAAGCGAAGUAGUAGAGAUCUAAUAAUAGUUUAUGAAGAGUCAUGCGAGAGAUAUUCCCCUUGAAGUCCACGGGCGAUCCCCCACACGAUCGUGAUUUCUUUUUUUUUUUAUAGACACACAUAAGUCACAUCGAGCACGUCUCGAUCGCCAGACCGACCUGGAAGCUCGUGCUCCGUAGGCCCCGGCGACUUUGACCACCAGCUGCCCACGUGCGCGCAUAAUCGCCAGACAGCCAACUAAUUCCAGUUGGCUGCGAUGGGCCAAGCCAUUUGGUGCCCAAAGAAAUCCAACCACCGCGUGAUCACGUGAAUGAAGUUCGCCAAUCAAUUAAUGGCCCGUACGCCCACGAAACCGGAGUAAAAAACGUCUGGGCUUGGAGCUGAUUACCUCGUUAGGCGAGAUAAGGUGUCGCUGCUGGCGGCAAAUGCCUUCAUUUAUCGCGAAAAGGUGACACAUGGACACCAGCCGAGGGGAAAGUUACUGACUAGCGGCUAGAAUGAGGGGCUCGUCAUGCGAACCACACGGCGGAUGCGUGAUCUGGCCGCUAGUCGACGCGGCUUACGGGCUAAGCACCUCCAACUACUGGAUUGCUGGGGUUUAUUGACAGUCGAUUCAAGUGUGUGCCAACUAUGUAUAUAUAUGCAUUUGUUGACAUUUUCCGUUGGCGUCAUUGCUCAGAGGAAACUCUGACCCCUUAACCCUUGGAAAUUAGACAGGAAACGAAUACACGCAAAGAAACGAAGCAGCACUUUAAUUUUAAAUAGCAAUUUCCUUUAUUUUAACAAUUAACGAACAAACUGAUAAAGAUUUA